RNAcentral lists this ribosomal RNA (1343 nucleotides) under uncultured bacterium. Its description in RNAcentral is "16S ribosomal RNA". It matches the Rfam family "Bacterial small subunit ribosomal RNA", at positions 28 to 1378 of the family's 1533-position model. The record is from RNAcentral.
GACGAACGCUGGCGGCGUGCUUAACACAUGCAAGUCGAACGGAAAGGCCCUGCUUUUGUGGGGUGCUCGAGUGGCGAACGGGUGAGUAACACGUGAGUAACCUGCCCUUGACUUUGGGAUAACUUCAGGAAACUGGGGCUAAUACCGGAUAGGAGCUCUUGCUGCAUGGUGGGGGUUGGAAAGUUUCGGCGGUUGGGGAUGGACUCGCGGCUUAUCAGCUUGUUGGUGGGGUAGUGGCUUACCAAGGCUUUGACGGGUAGCCGGCCUGAGAGGGUGACCGGCCACAUUGGGACUGAGAUACGGCCCAGACUCCUACGGGAGGAAGCAGUGGGGAAUAUUGCACAAUGGGCGGAAGCCUGAUGCAGCAACGCCGCGUGCGGGAUGACGGCCUUCGGGUUGUAAACCGCUUUCGCCUGUGACGAAGCGUGAGUGACGGUAAUGGGUAAAGAAGCACCGGCUAACUACGUGCCAGCAGCCGCGGUGAUACGUAGGGUGCGAGCGUUGUCCGGAUUUAUUGGGCGUAAAGGGCUCGUAGGUGGUUGAUCGCGUCGGAAGUGUAAUCUUGGGGCUUAACCCUGAGCGUGCUUUCGAUACGGGUUGACUUGAGGAAGGUAGGGGAGAAUGGAAUUCCUGGUGGAGCGGUGGAAUGCGCAGAUAUCAGGAGGAACACCAGUGGCGAAGGCGGUUCUCUGGGCCUUUCCUGACGCUGAGGAGCGAAAGCGUGGGGAGCGAACAGGCUUAGAUACCCUGGUAGUCCACGCUGUAAACGGUGGGUACUAGGUGUGGGGUCCAUUCCACGGGUUCCGUGCCGUAGCUAACGCUUUAAGUACCCCGCCUGGGGAGUACGGCCGCAAGGCUAAAACUCAAAGGAAUUGACGGGGCCCCGCACAAGCGGCGGAGCAUGCGGAUUAAUUCGAUGCAACGCGUAGAACCUUACCUGGGUUUGACAUGGAUCGGGAGCGCUCAGAGAUGGGUGUGCCUCUUUUGGGGUCGGUUCACAGGUGGUGCAUGGCUGUCGUCAGCUCGUGUCGUGAGAUGUUGGGUUAAGUCCCGCAACGAGCGCAACCCUUGUUCACUGUUGCCAGCACGUUAUGGUGGGGACUCAGUGGAGACCGCCGGGGUCAACUCGGAGGAAGGUGGGGAUGACGUCAAGUCAUCAUGCCCCUUAUGUCCAGGGCUUCACGCAUGCUACAAUGGCUGGUACAGAGAGUGGCGAGCCUGUGAGGGUGAGCGAAUCUCGGAAAGCCGGUCUCAGUUCGGAUUGGGGUCUGCAACUCGACCUCAUGAAGUCGGAGUCGCUAGUAAUCGCAGAUCAGCAACGCUGCGGUGAAUACGUUCCCGGG